Molecule: ribosomal RNA, 350 nt
Filed under: Pantoea ananatis
Lineage: Bacteria; Pseudomonadati; Pseudomonadota; Gammaproteobacteria; Enterobacterales; Erwiniaceae
Description: bacterial SSU rRNA
Rfam family: Bacterial small subunit ribosomal RNA
Source: RNAcentral
CGGACGGGUGAGUAAUGUCUGGGGAUCUGCCCGAUAGAGGGGGAUAACCACUGGAAACGGUGGCUAAUACCGCAUAACGUCGCAAGACCAAAGAGGGGGACCUUCGGGCCUCUCACUAUCGGAUGAACCCAGAUGGGAUUAGCUAGUAGGCGGGGUAACGGCCCACCUAGGCGACGAUCCCUAGCUGGUCUGAGAGGAUGACCAGCCACACUGGAACUGAGACACGGUCCAGACUCCUACGGGAGGCAGCAGUGGGGAAUAUUGCACAAUGGGCGCAAGCCUGAUGCAGCCAUGCCGCGUGUAUGAAGAAGGCCUUCGGGUUGUAAAGUACUUUCAGCGGGGAGGAAGGC